CGCAACCCUUGUCUUUAGUUGCCAUCAUUCAGUUGGGCACUCUAAGAGACUGCGGUGUCAAACCGGAGGAAGUGGGGAUGACGUCAAGUCCUCAUGGCCUUUAUGACCAGGGCUACACACGUACUACAAUGGCCGGUACAAAGGGCAGCCACUUAGCGAUAAGGAGCCAAUCCCGUAAAGCCGGUCUCAGUCCGGAUUGGAGUCUGCAACUCGACUCCAUGAAGCUGGAAUCGCUAGUAAUCGCAGAUCAGCACGCUGCGGUCGAAUACGUUCCCGGGCCUU
This 282-nucleotide ribosomal RNA is filed under the name uncultured Desulfocapsa sp. Its description in RNAcentral is "partial 16S ribosomal RNA". It matches the Rfam family "Bacterial small subunit ribosomal RNA", at positions 1097 to 1382 of the family's 1533-position model. The record is from RNAcentral. Lineage: Bacteria; Pseudomonadati; Thermodesulfobacteriota; Desulfobulbia; Desulfobulbales; Desulfocapsaceae.